RNAcentral lists this ribosomal RNA (447 nucleotides) under uncultured bacterium. RNAcentral's name for it is "bacterial SSU rRNA". It matches the Rfam family "Bacterial small subunit ribosomal RNA", at positions 354 to 796 of the family's 1533-position model. The record is from RNAcentral.
GUGGGGAAUCUUGGGCAAUGGGCGCAAGCCUGACCCAGCGACGCCGCGUGGGGGAGGAAGUCCUUCGGGACGUAAACCCCACAAGUGAGGGACGAAUAAGACCGGGCUAAUACCCCGGUGGAUGACGGUACCUCAUGUAAGCCCCGGCUAACUACGUGCCAGCAGCCGCGGUAAUACGUAGGGGGCGAGCGUUGUCCGGAAUUACUGGGCGUAAAGCGCGCGUAGGCGGCUUGGUAAGUCGGUUGUGGAAGCCUCAGGCUCAACCUGGGAAUUGCGAUCGAAACUGCUAGGCUUGAGUACGGUAGGGGGUGCUAGAAUUCCUGGUGUAGCGGUGAAAUGCAUAGAUAUCAGGAGGAAUACCAGUGGCGAAGGCGGGCACCUGGGCCGUUACUGACGCUGAGGCGCGAAAGCUAGGGGAGCAAACCGGAUUAGAAACCCGAGUAGUCC